AUUGAACGCUGGCGGCAGGCCUAACACAUGCAAGUCGAGCGAGCGGCGGACGGGUGAGUAAUGUAUGGGGACUGCCCGAUAGAGGGGGAUAACUACUGGAAACGGUAGCUAAUACCGCAUACUAUCGGAUAACCCAUAUGGGAUUAGCUAGUAGGUGAGGUAAUGGCUCACCUAGGCGACGAUCCCUAGCUGGUCUGAGAGGAUGAUCAGCCACACUGGGACUGAGACACGGCCCAGACUCCUACGGAGGCAGCAGUGGGGAAUAAUGCACAAUGGGGGCAGGCCUGAUGCAGCCAUGCCGAGUGUAUGUAGAAGGACGUAGGGUUGUAAAGUACAUUCAGUCGGGAGGCGUUACCGGCAGAGGAAGCACCGGCUAACUCCGUGCCAGCAGCCGCGGUAAUUC
Molecule: ribosomal RNA, 403 nt
Filed under: uncultured bacterium
Lineage: Bacteria
Description: partial 16S ribosomal RNA
Rfam family: Bacterial small subunit ribosomal RNA
Source: RNAcentral